Molecule: ribosomal RNA, 1478 nt
Filed under: Limosilactobacillus reuteri
Lineage: Bacteria; Bacillati; Bacillota; Bacilli; Lactobacillales; Lactobacillaceae
Description: bacterial SSU rRNA
Rfam family: Bacterial small subunit ribosomal RNA
Source: RNAcentral
GGCCGCGGGUUGCCUAAUACAUGCAAGUCGUACGCACUGGCCCAACUGAUUGAUGGUGCUUGCACCUGAUUGACGAUGGAUCACCAGUGAGUGGCGGACGGGUGAGUAACACGUAGGUAACCUGCCCCGGAGCGGGGGAUAACAUUUGGAAACAGAUGCUAAUACCGCAUAACAACAAAAGCCACAUGGCUUUUGUUUGAAAGAUGGCUUUGGCUAUCACUCUGGGAUGGACCUGCGGUGCAUUAGCUAGUUGGUAAGGUAACGGCUUACCAAGGCGAUGAUGCAUAGCCGAGUUGAGAGACUGAUCGGCCACAAUGGAACUGAGACACGGUCCAUACUCCUACGGGAGGCAGCAGUAGGGAAUCUUCCACAAUGGGCGCAAGCCUGAUGGAGCAACACCGCGUGAGUGAAGAAGGGUUUCGGCUCGUAAAGCUCUGUUGUUGGAGAAGAACGUGCGUGAGAGUAACUGUUCACGCAGUGACGGUAUCCAACCAGAAAGUCACGGCUAACUACGUGCCAGCAGCCGCGGUAAUACGUAGGUGGCAAGCGUUAUCCGGAUUUAUUGGGCGUAAAGCGAGCGCAGGCGGUUGCUUAGGUCUGAUGUGAAAGCCUUCGGCUUAACCGAAGAAGUGCAUCGGAAACCGGGCGACUUGAGUGCAGAAGAGGACAGUGGAACUCCAUGUGUAGCGGUGGAAUGCGUAGAUAUAUGGAAGAACACCAGUGGCGAAGGCGGCUGUCUGGUCUGCAACUGACGCUGAGGCUCGAAAGCAUGGGUAGCGAACAGGAUUAGAUACCCUGGUAGUCCAUGCCGUAAACGAUGAGUGCUAGGUGUUGGAGGGUUUCCGCCCUUCAGUGCCGGAGCUAACGCAUUAAGCACUCCGCCUGGGGAGUACGACCGCAAGGUUGAAACUCAAAGGAAUUGACGGGGGCCCGCACAAGCGGUGGAGCAUGUGGUUUAAUUCGAAGCUACGCGAAGAACCUUACCAGGUCUUGACAUCUUGCGCUAACCUUAGAGAUAAGGCGUUCCCUUCGGGGACCCAUGACAGGGGUGCAUGGCCUCCUCACCCCGGGCCGGAAAUUUGGGUUAAUCCCGCACCAGCCCACCCUUGUUCCAUUUCCCGCUUAAUUGGGCCCCUUGGAACGCCGGGAAAACCCACUGCCGGUGACAAACCGGAGGAAGGUGGGGACGACGUCAGAUCAUCAUGCCCCUUAUGACCUGGGCUACACACGUGCUACAAUGGACGGUACAACGAGUCGCAAGCUCGCGAGAGUAAGCUAAUCUCUUAAAGCCGUUCUCAGUUCGGACUGUAGGCUGCAACUCGCCUACACGAAGUCGGAAUCGCUAGUAAUCGCGGAUCAGCAUGCCGCGGUGAAUACGUUCCCGGGCCUUGUACACACCGCCCGUCACACCAUGGGAGUUUGUAACGCCCAAAGUCGGUGGCCUAACCUUUAUGGAGGGAGCCGCCUAAGGCGGCCCA